RNAcentral lists this ribosomal RNA (424 nucleotides) under uncultured Chitinophagaceae bacterium. Its description in RNAcentral is "bacterial SSU rRNA". It matches the Rfam family "Bacterial small subunit ribosomal RNA", at positions 355 to 775 of the family's 1533-position model. Lineage: Bacteria; Pseudomonadati; Bacteroidota; Chitinophagia; Chitinophagales; Chitinophagaceae. The record is from RNAcentral.
UAAGGAAUAUUGGGCAAUGGACGCAAGUCUGACCCAGCCAUGCCGCGUGGAGGAUGAAGGUCCUCUGGAUUGUAAACUUCUUUUAUCUGGGAAGAAAUCCAUAUUUUCUAAUGUGGUUGACGGUACCAGAUGAAUAAGCACCGGCUAACUCCGUGCCAGCAGCCGCGGUAAUACGGAGGGUGCAAGCGUUAUCCGGAUUCACUGGGUUUAAAGGGUGCGUAGGUGGGCAGGUAAGUCAGUGGUGAAAUCUCCGGGCUUAACUCGGAAACUGCCGUUGAUACUAUCUGUCUUGAAUAUCGUGGAGGUUAGCGGAAUAUGUCAUGUAGCGGUGAAAUGCUUAGAUAUGACAUUAGAACACCCAUUGCGAAGGCAGCUAACUACACGAUCAUUGACACUGAGGCACGAAAGCGUGGGGAGCAAAACA